This 478-nucleotide ribosomal RNA is filed under the name Dermacentor nuttalli. RNAcentral describes it as "partial large subunit ribosomal RNA". The stretch from base 320 to 478 matches the Rfam family "Bacterial large subunit ribosomal RNA", at positions 2473 to 2631 of the family's 2925-position model. The record is from RNAcentral. Lineage: Eukaryota; Metazoa; Arthropoda; Arachnida; Ixodida; Ixodidae.
UAUGAAAAUGUCUUAAAUUGCUGUAGUAUUUUGACUUUACAAAGGUAUUGUAAUAAGGUUUUAAUUGAAUGCUAAAAGAAUGGAAUUACAGGGAAAAGUUUUUUUAAAUUUAAUAAUUGAAGUUAUUUUAAUUUGUGAAGAAACAAUUAUAUAAAUUAAAGACAAGAAGACCCUAAGAAUUUAAGAAUUUUUAUUAAUAUAUUAUAUGUAUAUAUAUAUAUAAAUAAAAUUCUUAGUUGGGGCAACUAAAAAAUAUAUUAAACUUUUUUUUAAAAAAAAUGACCCAUUAUUAAUGAUAAUAUGAAAAAAAUACUCUAGGGAUAACAGCGUAAUAAUUUUUGAUAGAUCUUAUAGACAAAAUAGUUUGCGACCUCGAUGUUGGAUUAGGAUACUUUUUUAAUGAAGAUGUUAAAAAAAGAAGUUUGUUCAACUUUUAAAUUCUUACAUGAUCUGAGUUUAGACCGAUGAAGAAUGAGGA